CAAUAGCGUAUACUAACGUUGUUGCAGUUAAAAAGCUCGUAGUUGGAUUUCUGAAGGUGGUUGGAUUGGUGUGACCUCGCGUUGCCUCAACCAUACUAUUUUCAACAUAUGCGAUGAAUUGGUGUGGUUAAUUAAGUUUGAUCCGCCAUUAAAUCGCUCGUUUACUUUGAGAAAAUUGGAGUGUUCAAAGCAGGCAUAACGCCUUGAAUAUGUUAGCAUGGAAUAAUAGCAUAGGACUUUGGUUCUAUUUGUUGGUUGUUCGAGAACCGGAGUAAUGAUUGAUAGGGACGGUUGGGGGCAUCUGUAUUCUCAAGCGAGAGGUGAAAUUCUUGGACCUUGGGAAGACGAACAGCUGCGAAAGCGUUUGCCUAGGACGUUCUCUUUAA
RNAcentral lists this ribosomal RNA (386 nucleotides) under uncultured eukaryote. RNAcentral's name for it is "partial 18S ribosomal RNA". It matches the Rfam family "Eukaryotic small subunit ribosomal RNA", at positions 592 to 976 of the family's 1831-position model. The record is from RNAcentral.